Molecule: unclassified non-coding RNA, 330 nt
Filed under: soil metagenome
Description: partial contains 5.8S ribosomal RNA, internal transcribed spacer 2, and large subunit ribosomal RNA
Rfam family: 5.8S ribosomal RNA (bases 1-121)
Source: RNAcentral
GAUGAAGAACCGCAGCGAAAUGCGAUAAGUAAUGUGAAUUGCAGAAUUCAGUGAAUCAUCGAAUCUUUGAACGCACAUUGCGCCCCUUGGUAUUCCGAGGGGCAUGCCUGUUCGAGCGUCAUUAUAACCCCUCAAGCUCAGCUUGGUGUUGGGGCCUGCUGCACUGGCAGCCCUUAAAAUCAGUGGCGGCGCCAUCUGGCUCUAAGCGUAGUAAUUCUUCUCGCUAUGGAGUCCUGGUGGAUGCUUGCCAUCAACCCCCAAUUUUUCUAUGGUUGACCUCGGAUCAGGUAGGGAUACCCGCUGAACUUAAGCAUAUCAAUAAGCGGAGGA